UGGAUUUAUUCGUUUUUGUUUGUGAGACUGUUGAUGAUAUGCAGCUACCAUGGAAUAAGGGGAUCAUUACUGAUGGUGCACCUGCCAUGGCUGGUGAGCGAGGCGGAUUGUCCACACCGAGUUCCAAUAAAGUCAGCGAAGAAGCAGCAUGUCUUUAUCCUGUUUUUCUUCUUUCACCCCAACCGGUCGCAGCAGAUGGCCGCCCCUCCCUGAGCCUGGUUCUGCCGGAGGUUUCUUCCUGUUAAAAGGGAGUUUUUCCUUCCCACUGUCGCCAAAGUGCUUGCUCAUAGGGGGUCAUAUGAUUGUUGGUUUUUCUCUGUAUGUAUUAUUGUAGGGUCUACCUUACAAUAUGAAGCACCUUAAGGUGACUGU
Long non-coding RNA from Oreochromis aureus, 372 nucleotides. The record is from Ensembl. NCBI's taxonomy places the organism in Eukaryota, Metazoa, Chordata, Actinopteri, Cichliformes, Cichlidae.